RNAcentral lists this ribosomal RNA (253 nucleotides) under uncultured bacterium. RNAcentral's name for it is "partial 16S ribosomal RNA". It matches the Rfam family "Bacterial small subunit ribosomal RNA", at positions 524 to 776 of the family's 1533-position model. The record is from RNAcentral.
GACGUAGGGCGCGAGCGUUGUCCGGAAUUAUUGGGCGUAAAGGGCUCGUAGGCGGUUUGUCGCGUCGGGAGUGAAAAUCCAGGGCUUAACUCUGGACUGGCUUUCGAUACGGGCAGACUAGAGGUAUGCAGGGGAGAACGGAAUUCCGGGUGUAGCGGUGAAAUGCGUAGAUAUCCGGAGGAACACCGGUGGCGAAGGCGGCUUCCUGGACCGACACUGACGCUGAGGCGCGAAAGCUAGGGGAGCAAACGGG